AUCCUGCUGACGAGUCCCAAAUGAGUCGAAACGUGAGUCCUGGAU
Molecule: non-coding RNA, 45 nt
Filed under: Schistosoma margrebowiei
Lineage: Eukaryota; Metazoa; Platyhelminthes; Trematoda; Strigeidida; Schistosomatidae
Source: RNAcentral